AAUGAACGCUGGCGGCAGGCCUAACACAUGCAAGUCGAACGGAUCCUUCGGGAUUAGUGGCGGACGGGUGAGUAACGCGUGGGAACAUACCCAAAGGUACGGAAUAGCCUCGGGAAACUGGGGGUAAUACCGUAUGUGCUCGAAAGAGGACAGAUUUAUUGCCGUUGGAUUGGCCCGCGUUGGAUUAGGUAGUUGGUGGGGUAAUGGCCUACCAAGCCGACGAUCCAUAGCUGGUUUGAGAGGAUGAUCAGCCACACUGGGACUGAGACACGGCCCAGACUCCUACGGGAGGCAGCAGUGGGGAAUCUUAGACAAUGGGGGAAACCCUGAUCUAGCCAUGCCGCGUGAUCGAUGAAGGCCUUAGGGUUGUAAAGAUCUUUCAGGUGGGAAGAUAAUGACUGUACCACCAGAAGAAGCCCCGGCUAACUCCGUGCCAGCCGCCGCCGUAA
This 449-nucleotide ribosomal RNA is filed under the name uncultured bacterium. Its description in RNAcentral is "partial 16S ribosomal RNA". It matches the Rfam family "Bacterial small subunit ribosomal RNA", at positions 29 to 523 of the family's 1533-position model. The record is from RNAcentral.